AUCUGAGAAGAUGGGGGUGGGGGGGUUUGAGGGGCUCUAGUUAAUUUCAGGUAGGAACUCUGGUGGCCUUUUUUUCUUUUAAUACAGUUUUUUAAAAAGAUCAGAGAGUCUGACAGUUCUUUUCAGUCUUCUCACACCAAAGAGGAAAAACUGUGAUUGUCUAGACCUGUACUUUCUAGGUCCGAGAUUCCCUUAACCAGAACCAUGACGACUGCUCAAAAACUAGCACAGAUGAUAAUCUUUUUCUGCCCCAUCCUCAGUCUCAGCCUGCUGAAGAGACAUCAAUACCCUUAGCUCUCAGUAUCUCCUGAAACCAGUAGCAAGGAGUCAGAGGCAAGCACCUGCUUUUCGAAAACAGCAUGAGUGGCUGCUGUGGGGAGCUUGCCAUCCAGACACCCAUCUGGAGUUUAUUCUGCCGCCACUUUGGUGCCUCCCCACGUAAAUUAUAAGAAUGAGCAUCAUGUGGGGAGGAGGAUGAGGGAGUAGAAUGCAUUAAGACAUCAUUUCAUCAACAUGCAGAACUCCAGGUGAAAAUGCCUCGCAUUGACUGCAGAUGGUCAAUUAAUCUGUAACUUCAUCUUAGACAAUUCCCUACUCACCGAGUCCAUCGUCACAUAACACUUAUUUUGUUAUAACUUCUAUGCAAUUAUUUCUUAUUUUCCCUAAGUUCCAUGAGGACGGGUAUCUAUUUCUGAGUGUUUUCUUUCAUCUUUUGUUCCUAGCAUGUAAUUUAGAAAAAUGAAGUUUGUAAAUGUUAACUAAGUAAAUGUUAUAUUGAUUUGAAUUUAAUUCACUAAUGUCUUUCUUUAUAGCAAGAUAUGUCCCAUUGUCCUUUGGAAAGUUAAUUCUAGUGGGUCUGGUUAUCAAAGGGGGCUGAUGGUGCAGAUGCUGAUGGGGAACUGAUUCAGCCUUCCCCCACUUAGUAUCCAAGAGUCAAUCCUUGAAUCCUUUGUAGUACUUUAUCCUUGAUAGCUAUAAGGUGAUUUUUUUAGUGCUUCCUGUGCGCUCUGGCUAAUGGUAUAAAUACCAUAAUAAGAUGUUGCCUACUCUGAAAGAGUCUAUAGUCUAAUGGAAGACAAAACUGAAAUGACUUCAGCUCUGCAUCAUUUCACUGAACAAAAAUGACCAUUUUGGAAUUCUCGGUAGUUUUUAACUAAAGCAACACUGAAGACGUUUAUGUCCUAUAACUGUAUUUGGUUUAGUAAACCUCAACUGUUAGAAUUUGGAGCGUAUAUUGGUCACUGUUUUCUCCACAUCGGAAUUUCUAAUCAAUUUUAACAACCAUUAAUUAUAUGUGCUAGGAACUGUCAUGAGUGCUUGAAAUACAAUGAAAAAGCAGGACAGUCAAUCAAAUCACAUCUAAUGAGGGAGAUAAUAUGUAAAUAAAUAGGUUAUGUACCAAAAUAAUAGGAGCGAUGGUUUUAGUGCCUGAGUUAUUGGGAUAGACCUCUUGCAGAAAAUGGGAUUUAAGCUGAGUCUUAAAGGAGCCAGGGUUUCUGAAAGGCAGAGGCAGAGAGCAAGAGCAUUGUAGGCAUGGUCAAGCCAGCACAAAAGCACAAAGAUGGGACAUGGAACUCUGUGUAUAAAUAAUAGCAAAUAAGGCCAAUAUUUUGCAUGAUAUAAGAAGGGGGAAUGACUAGAAAUGACCAAAUUCUGAAGAGCUUUAAAUCCAAAAUAAAACCUCUUGUGCUUGAUCCUAGAAGUAAUACUGAAAAAAUCACUAGAGUUCAUUGUUAAA
Molecule: non-coding RNA, 1738 nt
Organism: Monodelphis domestica (gray short-tailed opossum)
Lineage: Eukaryota; Metazoa; Chordata; Mammalia; Didelphimorphia; Didelphidae
Source: RefSeq, a predicted model, not a curated record